This 73-nucleotide transfer RNA is filed under the name Bavayia kunyie. RNAcentral's name for it is "tRNA-Asn". Lineage: Eukaryota; Metazoa; Chordata; Lepidosauria; Squamata; Diplodactylidae. The record is from RNAcentral.
UAGAUUGAAGCCCGCUGGUUUGGGUUUUUAGUUGUUAACUAAAGAUUUAUGAGAUCAAGGCCCGUCGAUCUAG